Camelus dromedarius (Arabian camel) is the source of this 115-nucleotide small nuclear RNA. Lineage: Eukaryota; Metazoa; Chordata; Mammalia; Artiodactyla; Camelidae. The record is from Ensembl.
GUGCUCGCUUUGGUAGCACAUGUACUAAAAUUGGAAAGAUACAGAGAAGAAGAGAAGAUUAGCGUGGUCCCUUCAUAAGGAUGAUAUGCAAAUUCGUGAAGUGUUCCAUAUUUUU